Molecule: ribosomal RNA, 470 nt
Filed under: uncultured beta proteobacterium
Lineage: Bacteria; Pseudomonadati; Pseudomonadota; Betaproteobacteria
Description: bacterial SSU rRNA
Rfam family: Bacterial small subunit ribosomal RNA
Source: RNAcentral
GGAGAAAAGCAGGGGAUCGCAAGACCUUGCGCUCACUGAGCGGCCGAUGCCUGAUUAGCUAGUUGGUGAGGUAAAGGCUUACCAAGGCGACGAUCAGUAGCUGGUCUGAGAGGACGACCAGCCACACUGGGACUGAGACACGGCCCAGACUCCUACGGGAGGCAGCAGUGGGGAAUUUUGGACAAUGGGGGAAACCCUGUUCCAGCCAUGCCGCGUGAGUGAAGAAGGCCUUCGGGUUGUAAAGCUCUUUCAGCCGGAACGAAACGGUCACGGCUAAUACCUGUGACUACUGACGGUACCGGAAGAAGAAGCACCGGCUAACUACGUGCCAGCAGCCGCGGUAAUACGUAGGGUGCGAGCGUUAAUCGGAAUUACUGGGCGUAAAGCGUGCGCAGGCGGUUUUGUAAGUCAGAAGGGAAAUCCCCGGGCUUAACCUGGGAACUGCGUUCAAAAAAGAAGGCUAGAAGGGC